This 1082-nucleotide ribosomal RNA is filed under the name Coniella vitis. RNAcentral's name for it is "eukaryotic LSU rRNA". It matches the Rfam family "Eukaryotic large subunit ribosomal RNA", at positions 170 to 1276 of the family's 3401-position model. Lineage: Eukaryota; Fungi; Ascomycota; Sordariomycetes; Diaporthales; Schizoparmaceae. The record is from RNAcentral.
GCGGUGCCUUCCGAGUUCCCUGGAACGGGACGCCAUAGAGGGUGAGAGCCCCGUAUGGUUGGAUACCAAGCCUGUGUGAAACUCCUUCGACGAGUCGAGUAGUUUGGGAAUGCUGCUCAAAAUGGGAGGUAAAUCUCUUCUAAAGCUAAAUAUUGGCCAGAGACCGAUAGCGCACAAGUAGAGUGAUCGAAAGAUGAAAAGCACCUUGAAAAGGGGGUUAAACAGUACGUGAAAUUGUUGAAAGGGAAGCGCUCAUGACCAGACUUGUGCUGGGCAGCUCAUCCGGGGUUCUCCCCGGUGCAUUCUGCCCAGUUCAGGCCAGCAUCGAUUUUUGCUGGGGGAUAAGAACGGUAGGAACGUGGCCCUCCUUCGGGAGGGUGUUAUAGCCUACCGUACGAUACCCUAGCGGAGAUCGAGGUUCGCGCAUCUGCAAGGAUGCUGGCGUAAUGGUCAUCAGCGACCCGUCUUGAAACACGGACCAAGGAGUCGUCCAUUAGAGCGAGCGUUUGGGUGUAAAACCCGCACGCGUAAUGAAAGUGAAAUUAGGUGAGAGCUUCGGCGCAUCAUCGACCGAUCCUGAUGUUCUCGGAUGGAUUUGAGUAAGAGUUUUAACGGACGGACCCGAAAGACAGUGAACUAUGCUUGUAUAGGGUGAAGCCAGAGGAAACUCUGGUGGAGGCUCGCAGCGGUUCUGACGUGCAAAUCGAUCGUCAAAUAUGAGCAUGGGGGCGAAAGACUAAUCGAACUGUCUAGUAGCUGGUUACCGCCGAAGUUUCCCUCAGGAUAGCAGUGUUGACCUUCAGUUUUAUGAGGUAAAGCGAAUGAUUAGGGACUCGGGGGCGCUUUUUAGCCUUCAUCCAUUCUCAAACUUUAAAUAUGUAAGAAGCCCUUGUUACUUAGUUGAACGUGGGCAUUCGAAUGUAUCAACACUAGUGGGCCAUUUUUGGUAAGCAGAACUGGCGAUGCGGGAUGAACCGAACGCGGGGUUAAGGCGCCAGAGUGUACGCUCAUCAGACACCACAAAAGGCGUUAGUACAUCUUGACAGCAGGACGGUGGCCAUGGAAGUCGGAAUCCGCUAAGG